Molecule: microRNA precursor, 173 nt
Filed under: Medicago truncatula (barrel medic)
Lineage: Eukaryota; Viridiplantae; Streptophyta; Magnoliopsida; Fabales; Fabaceae
Description: MIR2619 microRNA precursor family
Rfam family: MIR2619 microRNA precursor family
Source: Rfam by way of RNAcentral
AAACCGCCUCAUAAGUUUUGCAACUGUAGCAGUUUUGGCCCCCUCAAGACCAAAUUUUGGUAAAAAAAAAAACAAUGUGGCACCUCACUUAGGGUGUCACGUCAGCGUAGACCGAGUCAAAAUUGGCCUUGGAGGCCAAAACUGCCACAGAUGCAAAGCUUAGGGGUUGGUUU